CAGUCGAGCGAACACUUUGGAAAGAUUCUUCGGAUGAUUUCCUUUGUGACUGAGCGGCGGACGGGUGAGUAACGCGUGGGUAACCUGCCUCAUACAGGGGGAUAACAGUUAGAAAUGACUGCUAAUACCGCAUAAGACCACGGUACCGCAUGGUACAGUGGUAAAAACUCCGGUGGUAUGAGAUGGACCCGCGUCUGAUUAGGUAGUUGGUGGGGUAACGGCCUACCAAGCCGACGAUCAGUAGCCGACCUGAGAGGGUGACCGGCCACAUUGGGACUGGGACACGGCCCAGACUCCUACGGGAGGCAGCAGUGGGGAAUAUUGCACAAUGGAGGAAACUCUGAUGCAGCGACGCCGCGUGAAGGAUGAAGUAUUUCGGUAUGUAAACUUCUAUCAGCAGGGAAGAAAAUGACGGUACCUGACUAAGAAGCCCCGGCUAACUACGUGCCAGCAGCCGCGGUAAUACGUAGGGGGCAAGCGUUAUCCGGAUUUACUGGGUGUAAAGGGAGCGUAGACGGCACGGCAAGCCAGAUGUGAAAGCCCGGGGCUCAACCCCGGGACUGCAUUUGGAACUGCUGAGCUAGAGUGUCGGAGAGGCAAGUGGAAUUCCUAGUGUAGCGGUGAAAUGCGUAGAUAUUAGGAGGAACACCAGUGGCGAAGGCGGCUUGCUGGACGAUGACUGACGUUGAGGCUCGAAAGCGUGGGGAGCAAACAGGAUUAGAUACCCUGGUAGUCCACGCCGUANACGAUGACUGCUA
This 758-nucleotide ribosomal RNA is filed under the name uncultured bacterium. RNAcentral's name for it is "bacterial SSU rRNA". It matches the Rfam family "Bacterial small subunit ribosomal RNA", at positions 59 to 818 of the family's 1533-position model. The record is from RNAcentral.